AUUCUAAUCCCUCCGUUGCACAAUACAUGCCUUCUAUUUGUCAAAAUAUAUAUGUAUCUAGACAUGUUUUAGUAUAUAGGUACAUCCAUUUUUGGACAAAUGGAAGUCAAGUAUUUUGGAACUGAGGGAGUAUACA
Molecule: non-coding RNA, 136 nt
Organism: Triticum aestivum (bread wheat)
Lineage: Eukaryota; Viridiplantae; Streptophyta; Magnoliopsida; Poales; Poaceae
Source: Rfam